Molecule: ribosomal RNA, 253 nt
Filed under: uncultured prokaryote
Description: partial 16S ribosomal RNA
Rfam family: Bacterial small subunit ribosomal RNA
Source: RNAcentral
UACGAAGGUGGCAAGCGUUGUUCGGAUUUACUGGGCGUACAGGGAGCGUAGGCGGUUGGAUAAGCCCUCCGUGAAAUCUCCAGGCUUAACCUGGAAAGUGCAGAGGGGACUGUUCAGCUAGAGGAUGGGAGAGGAGCGCGGAAUUCCCGGUGUAGCGGUGAAAUGCGUAGAUAUAGGAAGGAACACCAGUGGCGAAGGCGACCACCUGGACUGAUACUGACACUGAGGUGCGAAAGCGUGGGGAGCAAACAGG